UACGUAGGGUGCAAGCGUUGUCCGGAAUUAUUGGGCGUAAAGAGCUCGUAGGCGGUUUGUCGCGUCUGCUGUGAAAACCCGAGGCUCAACCUCGGGCCUGCAGUGGGUACGGGCAGACUAGAGUGCGGUAGGGGAGAUUGGAAUUCCUGGUGUAGCGGUGGAAUGCGCAGAUAGUCAGGAGGAACACCAAUGGCGAAGGCAGAUCUCCUGGGCCGUAACUGACGCUGAGGAGCGAAAGCAUGGGGAGCGAACAGG
This 255-nucleotide ribosomal RNA is filed under the name uncultured bacterium. Its description in RNAcentral is "partial 16S ribosomal RNA". It matches the Rfam family "Bacterial small subunit ribosomal RNA", at positions 524 to 776 of the family's 1533-position model. The record is from RNAcentral.